Molecule: ribosomal RNA, 253 nt
Filed under: uncultured bacterium
Lineage: Bacteria
Description: partial 16S ribosomal RNA
Rfam family: Bacterial small subunit ribosomal RNA
Source: RNAcentral
UACAGGGGGGGCAAGCGUUGUUCGGAAUUACUGGGCGUAAAGGGCCAGUAGGCGGCCAACUAAGUCCGACGUGAAAUCCCCAGGCUUAACCUGGGAACUGCGUCGGAUACUGGAUGGCUUGAAUUCGGGAGAGGGAUGCAGAAUUCCAGGUGUAGCGGUGAAAUGCGUAGAUAUCUGGAGGAAUACCGGUGGCGAAGGCGGCAUCCUGGACCGAUAUUGACACUGAUGAGCGAAAGCUAGGGGAGCAAACGGG